Long non-coding RNA from Cucurbita maxima (winter squash), 433 nucleotides. RefSeq lists it as uncharacterized. The transcript is spliced from 3 exons. The record is from RefSeq and is a predicted model, not a curated record. Lineage: Eukaryota; Viridiplantae; Streptophyta; Magnoliopsida; Cucurbitales; Cucurbitaceae.
CAGAAAUGUCCCUUUUUUUGGGAUUUUGCUUCAAUGGCCACGCUCUCGUUGUCUUUUGGUAAUAAGGGCUUGUGGGUGCAUGCGAUGGAGGCCGAUGGAUGUUAUACUUCACUUCCCCAAAUGGCGCUUCAAAAGUGAGAACACAAAGAUGAGGUUCAUUGAUAAAGCUUGUCUGCUAAGGAAAGUGUCUUCCAGCUAAGUCCCCAAGACGUAAUCUAGAUGAAUAUCAAUCAAACUGAGGCAAUACUCGUUAGAACUUUCCCAGAGUCAUCAAAAUGGACCAAUAUGAACAUAUGAAGACUGGAACAUUUUAAAUUCCUCAUAUCACAGUCCCUAGACGUGAAGUGGAGUUAAUAGAAAAAUGUUGAAAGUAGGGUCCCAACCUCCUUUUGCUGUCGUCUUAGAAUAUGAACACAAGGGUAGUAAGAUUGCA